CCUACGGGAGGCAGCAGUGAGGAAUAUUGGUCAAUGGGCUUACGCCUGAACCAGCCAAGUCGCGUGAGGGAAGACUGCCCUAUGGGUUGUAAACCUCUUUUGUCAGGGAGCAAUUGGCGCUACGUGUAGCGUUAUCGAGAGUACCUGAAGAAAAAGCAUCGGCUAACUCCGUGCCAGCAGCCGCGGUAAUCCGGAGGAUGCGAGCGUUAUCCGGAUUUAUUGGGUUUAAAGGGUGCGUAGGCGGAAUGCCAAGUCAGCGGUAAAAUCGCGGGGCUCAACCUCGCUCCGCCGUUGAAACUGGCGUGCUUGAGUGGGCGAGAAGUAUGCGGAAUGCGUGGUGUAGCGGUGAAAUGCAUAGAUAUCACGCAGAACUCCGAUUGCGAAGGCAGCAUACCGGCGCCCAACUGACGCUGAAGCACGAAAGCGUGGGUAUCGAACAGGAUUAGAUACCCCUGUAGUC
Molecule: ribosomal RNA, 460 nt
Filed under: uncultured bacterium
Lineage: Bacteria
Description: partial 16S ribosomal RNA
Rfam family: Bacterial small subunit ribosomal RNA
Source: RNAcentral